GAGUUUGAUUCUGGCUCAGGACGAACGCUGGCGGCGUGCUUAACACAUGCAAGUCACGGGGGCCCGCAAGGGCAACCGGCGAACGGGUGCGUAACACGUGAGCAACCUGCCUUCGUGUGGGGGAUAGCCGGCCCAACGGCCGGGUAAUACCGCAUACGAUUCUCGAGGGGAGUCCCUUGGGAAGGAAACCUCCGGGGCACGAAGAGGGGCUCGCGGCCUAUCAGCUAGUUGGCGGGGUAAUGGCCCACCAAGGCGACGACGGGUAGCUGGUCUGAGAGGAUGGCCAGCCACAUUGGGACUGAGAGACGGCCCAGACUCCUACGGGAGGCAGCAGUGGGGAAUCUUGCGCAAUGGCCGAAAGGCUGACGCAGCGACGCCGCGUGUGGGAUGAAGCAUUUCGGUGUGUAAACCACUGUUGCCCGGGACGAACAGCUUCUUUCGAGGAGCCUGACGGUACCGGGUGAGGAAGCACCGGCUAACUCCGUGCCAGCAGCCGCGGUAAUACGGAGGGUGCGAGCGUUGUCCGGAAUCACUGGGCGUAAAGGGCGCGUAGGUGGCGUGAGAAGUCAACGGUGAAAGCUUGGGGCUCAACCCCGAGUCGGCCGUCGAUACUCUUAGGCUUGAGCACUGUAGAGGCAGGUGGAAUUCCGGGUGUAGCGGUGGAAUGCGUAGAGAUCCGGAAGAACACCGGUGGCGAAGGCGGCCUGCUGGGCAGUUGCUGACACUGAGGCGCGACAGCGUGGGGAGCAAACAGGAUUAGAUACCCUGGUAGUCCACGCCGUAAACGAUGGGCACUAGGUGCUUGGGGGAGCGACCCUCUGAGUGCCGGCGCUAACGCAUUAAGUGCCCCGCCUGGGGAGUACGGCCGCAAGGCUGAAACUCAAAUGAAUUGACGGGG
RNAcentral lists this ribosomal RNA (898 nucleotides) under uncultured Gemmatimonadota bacterium. RNAcentral describes it as "bacterial SSU rRNA". It matches the Rfam family "Bacterial small subunit ribosomal RNA", at positions 9 to 918 of the family's 1533-position model. The record is from RNAcentral. Lineage: Bacteria; Pseudomonadati; Gemmatimonadota.